This 459-nucleotide ribosomal RNA is filed under the name uncultured bacterium. RNAcentral describes it as "partial 16S ribosomal RNA". It matches the Rfam family "Bacterial small subunit ribosomal RNA", at positions 338 to 795 of the family's 1533-position model. The record is from RNAcentral.
CCUACGGGAGGCAGCAGUGAGGAAUAUUGGUCAAUGGUCGGGAGACUGAACCAGCCAAGCCGCGUGAGGGAGGAAGGUACAGAGUAUCGUAAACCUCUUUUGUCAGGGAACAAAGGCGGGGACGUGUCCCCGGAUGAGUGUACCUGAAGAAAAAGCAUCGGCUAACUCCGUGCCAGCCGCCGCGGUAAUACGGAGGAUGCGAGCGUUAUCCGGAUUUAUUGGGUUUAAAGGGUGCGCAGGCGUUCUGUUAAGUCAGCGGUCAAAGCCCGGGGCGAAACCCCGGCCCGCCGUUGAAACUGGGAGUCUCGAGUUGGAGAGAGGUAUGCGGAAUGCGCGGUGUAGCGGUGAAAUGCAUAGAUAGCGCGCAGAACUCCGAUUGCGAAGGCAGCAUGCCGGCUCCACACUGACGCUGAGGCACGAAAGCGUGGGUAUCGAACAGGAUUAGAUACCCUAGUAGUC